Molecule: long non-coding RNA, 646 nt
Organism: Nelumbo nucifera (sacred lotus)
Lineage: Eukaryota; Viridiplantae; Streptophyta; Magnoliopsida; Proteales; Nelumbonaceae
Source: RefSeq, a predicted model, not a curated record
AGGUGUCAGGUUGGCCCGAGCCACUGACAAGCCUCAAACUGGCUGUCUGGAUCCUGGGAUGGCAUAUAUUACUCACGUGCGGUUUAGCAUCUCCAUGACUCCAUCGCACUCGGCAUUCCUUUUGCUUGCCACCGUGCCUCGGCCUAUGUAAACUGUUAGCCGGCAUUGUUAUCACCUGUAUCACUAUUCACUAUCACUACCAGUGACAAGGGCGCCAAAUAUGGCGAUUCGAGGCGUUACGAUUCCAUCCGCUUUUGCCCUAGUUUUCUAUCUCGUCAUCCUGUUGGCGGAAGUCUUCUUCGAAUGACGCUUCGAGGUUUAGCAAUCUAAUCUCGUCAGAGUGGCCUCUCUGAGACUUGAACCCUCAUUCUCAUGCUUGGCAGUCCUCAAGGUAUCCAGAUUGAUCUUGAUUAUAGAUUUCUAUCCUCUUUGCACAAUUUUCUGAGUUCAGAAACAAGGACAGGGUCUUGGUUUUCCAAUUUCCUGUCAAGCAGAAGCAGCAGCAUGGUUGUGGUGGUGGAUAUGGUCAAAAAAAGUUGGAGAGACACCUUACAGGUAAAACUGUUAUCAUUUGGAAAUAGUGGCAGCAUUGAUCUAGAGAUGUUUUGUUUUAUUUUUAUUAUGAUAGCAUCACAUGUUUGGUCCU